GAGAUCCUGCAUACCUUUUACUCAAGUUCGACCAGUGGUAACAUUUUGCAAAACUAUAAAUUCAGUAUCAUAGCCACGAUAUUGAUAUUUAUAAGCAAGAUACAUAACAUUUCUGUCACCACAGGGAUCGCUCAUGUGGCCCUUUUGCAGCCACACCUACUUCUCUCUCACCUGCAGCUCCUCCUUAACCCCUGGAAACACUAAUCUGUUCUCCAUUUCUCUAACUUUAUCAUUUCAAGAAUGUUAUAUAAAUGGUAUACAGAGAUACCAUUAGGUAAAUAUAUACUCAUCAUAAUUCUCUGAAGAUUCAUUCAGGUUGUUGUGUAAAUCAUUUGUCUGUUGCUUUUUAGUGCUGAGUAUGAUUCCAUUUAACUGUUAACUCACUGCAGGACACCAGGUUGUUCCAGUUUGGGGCUACUGUGAAUAAAGCUGUUAUACACAUUAACAUGUGAGUUUUUGUGUGAACACAGAUUUUCAUUUAUCUCAUAUUAAUGUCCAGGAGAAAAAAAUGUGGGUCAUACUGUAGUUGCAUGUUUAAUUUUUAAAGAAAUUAUGACUUUUCAGGGCAGUUGUGCCAUUUUACAUUCCCAGAAGCAAUGCAUCAGUAACUCAGUUUCUCUGUGUCCUUGCUCGCAUUU
RNAcentral lists this long non-coding RNA (638 nucleotides) under Homo sapiens (human). RNAcentral's name for it is "HSALNT0041382". The record is from RNAcentral. Lineage: Eukaryota; Metazoa; Chordata; Mammalia; Primates; Hominidae.